RNAcentral lists this ribosomal RNA (786 nucleotides) under uncultured bacterium. RNAcentral's name for it is "bacterial SSU rRNA". It matches the Rfam family "Bacterial small subunit ribosomal RNA", at positions 8 to 794 of the family's 1533-position model. The record is from RNAcentral.
AGAGUUUGAUCCUGGCUCAGGAUGAACGCUAGCGGGAGGCCUAACACAUGCAAGCCGAGCGGUAGAGAUUCUUCGGAAUCUUGAGAGCGGCGUACGGGUGCGUAACACGUGUGCAACCUGCCUUUAUCUGGGAGAUAGCCUUUCGAAAGGAAGAUUAAUAUCCCAUAAUAUAUUGAUUGGCAUCGAUUGAUAUUGAAAGCUCCGGCGGAUAAAGAUGGGCACGCGCAAGAUUAGAUAGUUGGUGAGGUAACGGCUCACCAAGUCGAUGAUCUUUAGGGGGCCUGAGAGGGUGAUCCCCCACACUGGUACUGGGACACGGACCAGACUCCUACGGGAGGCAGCAGUGAGGAAUAUUGGACAAUGGGUGGAAGCCUGAUCCAGCCAUCCCGCGUGAAGGAAUAAGGGCCUAUGGCUUGUAAACUUCUUUUGUACAGGGAUAAACCUACCCUCGUGAGGGUAGCUGAAGGUACUGUACGAAUAAGCACCGGCUAACUCCGUGCCAGCAGCCGCGGUAAUACGGAGGGUGCAAGCGUUAUCCGGAUUUAUUGGGUUUAAAGGGUCCGUAGGCGGGCUUAUAAGUCAGUGGUGAAAGCCGGCAGCUUAACUGUCGAACUGCCAUUGAUACUGUAAGUCUUGAGUAUAUUUGAGGUAGCUGGAAUAAGUAGUGUAGCGGUGAAAUGCAUAGAUAUUACUUAGAACACCAAUUGCGAAGGCAGGUUACCAAGUUAUAACUGACGCUGAUGGACGAAAGCGUGGGGAGCGAACAGGAUUAGAUACCCCGGUAGU